This 504-nucleotide ribosomal RNA is filed under the name uncultured bacterium. RNAcentral's name for it is "partial 16S ribosomal RNA". It matches the Rfam family "Bacterial small subunit ribosomal RNA", at positions 30 to 523 of the family's 1533-position model. The record is from RNAcentral.
AUUGAACGCUGGCGGCAGGCCUAACACAUGCAAGUCGAACGGUUGCACAGAGAGCUUGCUCUCGGGUGACGAGUGGCGGACGGGUGAGUAACGUCUGGGAAACUGCCCGAUGGAGGGAGAUAACUACUGGAAACGGUAGCUAAUACCGCAUAAUGUCGCAAGACCACAGUGGGGGACCUUCGGGCCUCACACAAUCGGCUGUGCACAGAUGGGAUUAGCUAGUAGGUGGGGUAAUGGCUCACCUAGGCGACGGUCCCUAGCUGGUCUGAGAGGAUGACCAGCCACACUGGAACUGAGACACGGUCCAGACUCCUACGGGAGGCAGCAGUGGGGAAUAUUGCACAAUGGGCGCAAGCCUGAUGCAGCCAUGCCGCGUGUAUGAAGAAGGCCUUCGGGUUGUAAAGUACUUUCAGCGGGGAGGAAGGCGGUGAAGUUAAUAACUUCACCGAUUGACGUUACCCGCAGAAGAAGCACCGGCUAACUCCGUGCCAGCCGCCGCGGUAA